This 429-nucleotide long non-coding RNA is filed under the name Daucus carota (carrot). RNAcentral's name for it is "long non-coding RNA (DCAR_LNC001891)". Lineage: Eukaryota; Viridiplantae; Streptophyta; Magnoliopsida; Apiales; Apiaceae. The record is from RNAcentral.
GGGUUGGAGCGUUGCCGGAAUAGUGGCGGCUUCGCGUUUGAAGUUGAGUCGAGGUGGAGAAAGAAGUAUGAACGGGGCUGAAGGAGGUUAAAACAACGAUUAAGAUGGGGCUAGUGAAGAUGGAGGUGGAGGUUGUGUUGUUAGAGAAAUAAUGGAGGUGGAGGUGGAGAUGGAGGUGGUGGUUAUGGAGGGGGCGGGCGGCAUAGAGGUGGUAGUGGUUAUGAAGGAGGCGACGACGGAGGUGGUGGCGGUGGAGAUGGGGUUGGUGAAGAUGAAGGUGGGGUUGGUGAAGAUGAAGAUGGAGAUGGGGUUGUUUAAGAAUUUAGUGGUAUUUGCUUUAGGAUUUAGUGAUAUUUCAGUUUGGUUUUUAGUUUCUAGGAUAAGGAGGUUUCUAUUGGAGUAAUACUCUAUAUAUAUAUAGAGAGAGAG